UUGGCGAAGCUGCGGGGAGCGCUGGAGCUCGGCCCGGGCCGCGGGGUCCCGCCGUGGCGCGCGGGGUCUGUUCUCGAGAUCACCGCCACUCGGCGUCCGGAUUUGGGCGGCGCGCGGGACAUGAACCCGGACCUGAUGGAAGCCCUAGCGGAGGGAGCGCGCAGCAGCCUCGCCGGCCCAGCUGGCUGCAGGGUGGGCGCGCUGAUUUAUUGAGCAGGAGCAGGGGCAGGGCAAGACUUAAAGGGGUGUGAUUCAGAAUGCUUGACAGGCAGGAAGCCCAGGUUUACGUCCCCACUACCAGGAGGUGACAGACACGGGGACAAGGGACCCUCACUGUUACCAGGACCUAAAACAAGCUUUUCCCCUGGCCUUGGGCAGUUUGGCCUGCUGGUUGCAGAACUCUCAGAUGGCAGUUUCCCUGCCCGACCACAAGGCAAGGGACAAAUGACCAGAGACUGUGUUCCGGGCCUGAGCUGCCCACACAAUCCAAGCGAGCCAACGCUAGCGCCUGAGGAUAGAACAUCCUGGUUGUCCCUGGCCAGGGCUCCACUGGGAGCUGACCACACCCCCAGGGAGAGACCAUGGAUUUCCGUGGCCCUUCCCACCAUGUGAAUCCACAGCGGCCCCAAGCUACCCCCCAGGCGUGGGCCCAGCAGCCGGCUCUCUUCCCAGCUGGGGACCCUGGUCACUUCUGGUGACCUCGGAUCUUAACCUCCUUACUGAUGAGCCGGAGUCGGCGACCCCGCCCCCACCCCG
Molecule: long non-coding RNA, 756 nt
Organism: Octodon degus (degu)
Lineage: Eukaryota; Metazoa; Chordata; Mammalia; Rodentia; Octodontidae
Exons: 3
Source: RefSeq, a predicted model, not a curated record